Molecule: small nuclear RNA, 23 nt
Filed under: Arabidopsis thaliana (thale cress)
Lineage: Eukaryota; Viridiplantae; Streptophyta; Magnoliopsida; Brassicales; Brassicaceae
Description: snRNA_12805
Source: RNAcentral
AAAACAGUACGCACAGCCUAACG